This 758-nucleotide non-coding RNA is filed under the name unclassified sequences. Its description in RNAcentral is "MISL RNA". It matches the Rfam family "MISL RNA". The record is from Rfam by way of RNAcentral.
GGAUAAUCCCAGGUGACUGGGGAAAGGUCGGGUCAGGCUGGUUGGCCCGGCUCCUCUGAAGUUGGAUCGAAAGGUAUGAUGAGGAGGCAGAAUUCACCAGUUCCUCUGGCGGUGUUCGCACACCGUCAAAUGCGAAUGAGGGACUUGGCGGCGAGGGGCGAUGAGAAGCCGCUCCGAGCCGGGUCAAGUAGUUCAGGCCGGUUUCGAGCCUGGGCGAAUCGCAGUUACCCAGAGGGUAUCCGGUUGCUACUGCGCAUCAGCACGGACGGGCGACUCUGGCGGUCACGCAAAAAACGGGAUCAGCCAAAAGAAAGACGCCGAAAGGCGGGACAAAAUGAGCGUUCGCACCGGGAAGGACACGACGGCUCGACAGGCUGCGUGAAAACCUUCCAAGCGUCGGCGAUGUUAAAAACGACACCGCUGGGCUGUGAGCAAAAGGCAACCUGAGAGUGAAGAGGCGAGACCCGUGGUAUCGGGCGAACGCACCGUCAAAAGCGGUGGCUGACCCGGUGCUAAGUGGUGAAGACGCGAAGAUCAAAUCACAGAUGUGUCUUCAUCUGGUUUGCAAGCUGGUGGCGCAACCAUCAGUUCAAGCAGGCUGAAAAGCCUCACUCGAAAUCCAGCGGCCGCAAGGCACUGGACGGCCCUGCCACGAGGCCGAAGACUCCGCUUGCCGUGGAGAAUGGCGUCGGGAAGCUGACAGCCCCCGAAAGGGGCGUGCCUAAUGUCGGCAUGGGAAAGAGAGCUUGGCGCACUCC